UGUAAGUUUUCGGUUAAAUCUGUACGCUCAACGUACAGGCUGCCGGGAAUACUGCAGAGCUAGGGAGUGGGAGAGGUAGACGGUACUCGGGAGGAAGUGGUAAAAUGCUUUGAUCUCUCGAUGACCACCUGUGGCGAAGGCGGUCUACCAGAACACGUCCGACGGCGAGGGAUGAAAGCUGGGGGAGCAAACCGGAUUAGAUACCCGGGUAGUCCCAGCUGUAAACUAUGCAAACUCAGUGAUGCAUUGGCUUGUGGCCAAUGCAGUAUUGCAGGGAAGCCGUUAAGUUUGCCGCCUGGGAAGUACGUACGCAAGUAUGAAACUUAAAGGAAUUGGCGGGGGAGCACCACAAGGGGUGAAGCCUGCGGUUCAAUUGGAGUCAACGCCAGAAAUCUUACCCGGAGAGACAGCAGAAUGAAGGUCAAGCUGAAGACUUUACCAGACAAGCUGAGAGGUGGUGCAUGGCCGUCGCCAGCUCGUGCCGUGAGAUGUCCUGUUAAGUCAGGUAACGAGCGAGAUCCCUGCCUCUAGUUGCCACCAUUACUCUCAGGAGUAGUGGGGCGAAUUAGCGGGACCGCCGCAGUUAAUGCGGAGGAAGGAAGGGGCCACGGCAGGUCAGUAUGCCCCGAAACUCUGGGGCCACACGCGGGCUGCAAUGGUAAUGACAAUGGGUUCCGAAUCCGAAAGGAGGAGGUAAUCCCCAAACAUUACCACAGUUAUGACUGAGGGCUGCAANUCGCCCUCACGAAUAUGGAAUCCCUAGUNNCUGCGUGUC
Molecule: ribosomal RNA, 775 nt
Filed under: uncultured crenarchaeote
Lineage: Archaea; Thermoproteati; Thermoproteota
Description: bacterial SSU rRNA
Rfam family: Archaeal small subunit ribosomal RNA
Source: RNAcentral